Tribolium madens (black flour beetle) is the source of this 1623-nucleotide long non-coding RNA. RefSeq lists it as uncharacterized. The transcript is spliced from 3 exons. The record is from RefSeq and is a predicted model, not a curated record. NCBI's taxonomy places the organism in Eukaryota, Metazoa, Arthropoda, Insecta, Coleoptera, Tenebrionidae.
GAUUCGUAUUAGGGUACCAUCGAUGGCUCCAAUUACUCUCGGAAACCUUGCGAUUUCAUAAAAAUCUUGUGCAGCUUGUUCCAUUUCUGCGCGGUUUUGAUACAUGUUAAUAUAGAUCGGUCGAAGACUAGCAAUUGCAUUGGAGACCCUUCGAAUGAUGCGGGAUGCAGAUGAUUUUGAAAUACCCAUAAAAUCUGCCACUGUUAUUAAUAAGUUACCCGUUGCAUACAACCUGAGAGUAAGUAACAACUGAAUAGUUGGUUUAAUGCUACCUCCUCUAAAAGGAUAUGUAUGAAACAAAAAUCUUUUUAUUAUUGUAAUUAUGUGUGUAUUUUACCUGUUAGAAUGCAAUUUAAUCAGAGGUUCAAUCUUUUCCAAAAGAGCGUAAACGGUGGGCUUGGUUAAACGAAAACGGUCAAAAAAAUCUACAUCGUCGUAAAUCUCAAAAUAAUUUUUUCUUUUUCUAUAAAUUUUUCGUCUUCGCGGUACAUAUUCUUCUUCGUCGGAAGAAGAAAAUGAACUAGAAGAAUCACUGAACACAUUCAUUUUGUGUGAUUCAAACAACACUGACAAAUUUGACGUUUGUUAAAGCCACUUUAACGAAUUAAAGGAAGAUAUUGCAGGCUUAAAAAUUUAAGGCACUUUAAGCCAAUUUUUAAUUUUAGUGUAUUAUGAAACGCAUUUUAUGAAUUAAAGUCACUUUUAAAAGUUAAAGUUCCUUUAAAUUGAUUAUGAAACUGGCCCUUAGUAACAGAAUACGAAAAUUCGUUUACCAACGAAAAGCGUUCAUUAACGAUAUUGUUCAGAGUUACAGAAUAAGGGUCUUUUAGUGUUGAAACUUUCAAUGCAACGAGAAAUGUCAACCAACGGCUGUCACAGUGUCACAUUCGGCGUUUCUGCGUUGUUCCAGAAGGUUCUUUGACUGUAUUACUGUUUUAUGGUUUGUUGGCUAUAUAAUCUAAAGACAUAUUAGAAUGGCAGAGGAUAUAUAUAUCAAGCCAUUUUAGCAAAACUAACGAGAGAGGAGAAAGCUGUAUUGGAACUUAGGAAAAAACUGAUGGAGUUGGAGUCGUUGGAUAUCUGGAAAAAUCUAAGGAAUCUCUGGAACAAACUAUGACCCAAUUGAAUUGGGACAAACUAGAGAGAGCAAACCUCAUUAACGUUAGAGGAUUUGUUGAUUAUUUCGAUAGUAAUAGCUUGAAGAAGAGUAGCAUCCUUGAAAGAACUAGCCAAUUUGUAGACUUCAUAAAAAGCAAAACGAAAGAAUAAGAGCAAUGGGGAUUAACAAUACUUGGCUUUCAAAGGCAAUUCCCGAGGUUGUACAACAAAUUAUGCCAAAAUGCUCACCCCAUAUUUAAAUCAAUAAAUGUCUUGGUAUUGUACGAAAGCGCUCUCGAACCUAUUGAAAUAAAAAUGUUGGGUUUCAUGUGGGAAGCACAACGAUUGCCAAAAUAUUUUUUUUUAUUAAAAAUGAUGAAAAUUCCGAGCAAAUGAUAAGUGUAUUUGAAAUGUACAAAGUAGUAAAACAACAAAAUCAUUAUUUUGAAAAUUAUUUUUAAGUCCUUGUUAAUUUCAUUUUUGUGUUAUUUUUUGUUCUUGACAAGGUAACUUUGUGAUUAAAAU